Molecule: microRNA precursor, 207 nt
Filed under: Oryza barthii
Lineage: Eukaryota; Viridiplantae; Streptophyta; Magnoliopsida; Poales; Poaceae
Description: MIR812 microRNA precursor family
Rfam family: MIR812 microRNA precursor family
Source: Rfam by way of RNAcentral
AAGAAGACAAACUCUGGUUUUUCGUGUCCAAUGUUUGAUUGUCCGUCUUAUAUGAAAUUUUUUUAUAAUUAGUAUUUUCAUUGUUGUUAGAUGAUAAAACAUGAUUAAUACUUUAUGCGUGAUUUGUCUUUUUAAUUUUUUUCAUAAUUUUUUCGAAUAAGACGGACGGUCAAACAUUGAACACGGAAACCCAGGGUUUGUCUUUUU